RNAcentral lists this ribosomal RNA (158 nucleotides) under uncultured bacterium. Its description in RNAcentral is "partial 16S ribosomal RNA". It matches the Rfam family "Bacterial small subunit ribosomal RNA", at positions 355 to 509 of the family's 1533-position model. The record is from RNAcentral.
UGAGGAAUAUUGGUCAAUGGUCGGGAGACUGAACCAGCCAAGCCGCGUGAGGGAGGAAGGUACAGAGUAUCGUAAACCUCUUUUGUCAGGGAACAAAGGCGGGGACGUGUCCCCCGGAUGAGUGUACCUGAAGAAAAAGCAUCGGCUAACUCCGUGCC